GACUAAAAAAUACUGCAAAAAAACCUAUGUAAUCAAAGUCAUCAAAGAAGUCAUUUCACUAUUGUGCAAUUGUAAUUCAAAGCUCAACUAUGACUUCCUAUGUACUACAAUGCAUACAUAAAUUAGAUGAGCUGGGCAUGCAUCACCCUUUAGUUUGGCAGUUACUACCCGCCAAAUGACUCGUUUCGAAGUGUAACGUUGUAAACCAAACUCCCGUGCCGAAGGUUCCCAUAAGCGACAACCAAAAACAAAAAAUCGACAACAACAAAAAUAGCCAAUCGCAAGCGAACGUUGUUUGCUUACUAAAUAGUUAGUGCCGGAGCGGGCUGACUAAGCGAACGACCCGGCGAGGGACUGUCGCGCCAUAUUAACCAUACUGUGUCAGCCCAGUCCCGUUCACAGAAGCUUGCACAUACACACACAGAUGCACAUGCGACGUUUUUUGCAUAUGCCUCAAUGCUAGCACCCAAACCGCUAGACGCUCCAUUUGCUCGUAAUACCCUGUGAUAUAAAAUAAAGGCAUUGCUUUAGUGCAAUAAUAUAUGGGCCAUUAUUUAAAAUAUAAUUAACUCUGGAAAUUUACGCUUAAUACUUUUUUAACGACUUGUUUAUUAAAAUGUUUAAAAUUGUAUUAUAUUUGUGCGAUAUUAGUUUUAAAAAUUAAUGUUAUUUAUAUAUGUAUCAUUAUUAUUAUUUAUAUGUCUUUAAGCCCCUCCGGCUAAC
Drosophila mojavensis is the source of this 723-nucleotide long non-coding RNA. RefSeq lists it as uncharacterized. The transcript is spliced from 2 exons. NCBI's taxonomy places the organism in Eukaryota, Metazoa, Arthropoda, Insecta, Diptera, Drosophilidae. The record is from RefSeq and is a predicted model, not a curated record.